Molecule: ribosomal RNA, 253 nt
Filed under: uncultured bacterium
Lineage: Bacteria
Description: partial 16S ribosomal RNA
Rfam family: Bacterial small subunit ribosomal RNA
Source: RNAcentral
UACGUAGGGGGCUAGCGUUGUCCGGAAUCAUUGGGCGUAAAGAGCGUGUAGGCGGCUCGGUAAGUCCGCUCUGAAAGCCCGGGGCUCAACCCCGGGAGGCGGGCGGAUACUGUCGGGCUAGAGUCCGGAAGAGGCGAGUGGAAUUCCUGGUGUAGCGGUGAAAUGCGCAGAUAUCGGGGGGAACACCAAUGGCGAAGGCAGCUCGCUGGGACGUGACUGACGCUGAGACGCGAAAGCGUGGGGAGCAAACAGG